UGAUGCAGCCAUGCCGCGUGUGUGAAGAAGGCCUUCGGGUUGUAAAGCACUUUCAGUUGUGAGGAAAAGUUAGUAGUUAAUACCUGCUAGCCGUGACGUUAACAACAGAAGAAGCACCGGCUAACUCCGUGCCAGCAGCCGCGGUAAUACGGAGGGUGCGAGCGUUAAUCGGAAUUACUGGGCGUAAAGCGCACGCAGGCGGUUUGUUAAGCUAGAUGUGAAAGCCCCGGGCUCAACCUGGGAUGGUCAUUUAGAACUGGCAGACUAGAGUCUUGGAGAGGGGAGUGGAAUUCCAGGUGUAGCGGUGAAAUGCGUAGAUAUCUGGAGGAACAUCAGUGGCGAAGGCGACUCCCUGGCCAAAGACUGACGCUCAUGUGCGAAAGUGUGGGUAGCGAACAGGAUUAGAUACCCUGGUAGUCCACACCGUAAACGCUGUCUACUAGCUGUUUGUGACUUUAAGUCGUGAGUAGCGAAGCUAACGCGAUAAGUAGACCGCCUGGGAGU
RNAcentral lists this ribosomal RNA (504 nucleotides) under Alteromonas macleodii. RNAcentral's name for it is "bacterial SSU rRNA". It matches the Rfam family "Bacterial small subunit ribosomal RNA", at positions 384 to 881 of the family's 1533-position model. The record is from RNAcentral. Lineage: Bacteria; Pseudomonadati; Pseudomonadota; Gammaproteobacteria; Alteromonadales; Alteromonadaceae.